CGUCAAGUCCUCAUGGCCUUUAUGACCAGGGCUACACACGUGCUACAAUGGCCGGUACAGAGCGCAGCGAACCCGCGAGGGGGAGCCAAUCGCAUAAAACCGGUCUCAGUUCGGAUUGGAGUCUGCAACUCGACUCCAUGAAGUCGGAAUCGCUAGUAAUCGCGGAUCAGCACGCCGCGGUGAAUACGUUCCCGGGCCUU
This 200-nucleotide ribosomal RNA is filed under the name uncultured organism. RNAcentral's name for it is "partial small subunit ribosomal RNA". It matches the Rfam family "Bacterial small subunit ribosomal RNA", at positions 1183 to 1382 of the family's 1533-position model. The record is from RNAcentral.